AGAGUUUGAUCCUGGCUCAGAUUGAACGCUGGCGGCAGGCUUAACACAUGCAAGUCGAGCGGGGGAAGGUAGCUUGCUACUGGACCUAGCGGCGGACGGGUGAGUAAUGCUUAGGAAUCUGCCUAUUAGUGGGGGACAACAUUCCGAAAGGAAUGCUAAUACCACAUACGUCCUACGGGAGAAAGCAGGGGACCUUCGGGCCUUGCGCUAAUAGAUGAGCCUAAGUCGGAUUAGCUAGUUGGUGGGGUAAAGGCCUACCAAGGCGACGAUCUGUAGCGGGUCUGAGAGGAUGAUCCGCCACACUGGGACUGAGACACGGCCCAGACUCCUACGGGAGGCAGCAGUGGGGAAUAUUGGACAAUGGGGGGAACCCUGAUCCAGCCAUGCCGCGUGUGUGAAGAAGGCCUUAUGGUUGUAAAGCACUUUAAGCGAGGAGGAGGCUACUAGUAUUAAUAUUACUGGAUAGUGGACGUUACUCGCAGAAUAAGCACCGGCUAACUCUGUGCCAGCAGCCGCGGUAAUACAGAGGGUGCGAGCGUUAAUCGGAUUUACUGGGCGUAAAGCGUGCGUAGGCGGCCAUUUAAGUCAAAUGUGAAAUCCCCGAGCUUAACUUGGGAAUUGCAUUCGAUACUGGAUGGCUAGAGUAUGGGAGAGGAUGGUAGAAUUCCAGGUGUAGCGGUGAAAUGCGUAGAGAUCUGGAGGAAUACCGAUGGCGAAGGCAGCCAUCUGGCCUAAUACUGACGCUGAGGUACGA
RNAcentral lists this ribosomal RNA (754 nucleotides) under uncultured Acinetobacter sp. Its description in RNAcentral is "bacterial SSU rRNA". It matches the Rfam family "Bacterial small subunit ribosomal RNA", at positions 8 to 756 of the family's 1533-position model. Lineage: Bacteria; Pseudomonadati; Pseudomonadota; Gammaproteobacteria; Moraxellales; Moraxellaceae. The record is from RNAcentral.